AAUUUAUUAUUUUUUAAGAUUUUAUAUAUUUUUUUAAUUUUUUUUUAAAAAUACUAAGAUAGUCACCAAAACGGCCACGGGUUCUGAAACCGACCUGAUUUUUUCUUGAAUGCGAAGUAGCGUUUGGACAGUCGGAGAGAAUUUAGAGGGAGUUUACGGUUUACUAUUUGAGUAGAGAGCUAGAGAGAGAAGGGAUUUUAUAUAUUAUUGUUUGUUUGGAGAGAGAGUGUUACGUUCCCUUUACUAUAUGUUAGCAGAGUGCCUGAGGAAGAAAGUGG
This 278-nucleotide long non-coding RNA is filed under the name Amborella trichopoda. RNAcentral describes it as "long non-coding RNA (ATRI_LNC003263)". Lineage: Eukaryota; Viridiplantae; Streptophyta; Magnoliopsida; Amborellales; Amborellaceae. The record is from RNAcentral.